AGGACAUGUAAGGGUUUGCAAUUCCAAGCAGAUACAAACAGAACAGUCAUAGACAUUUGAGCUGGCAAUCACUCUUUUGAUGCAAGCAUACGAAGAUGUUGGGUCUUGAAUUGGGUUUCCUUUCGCUCAAUUCGAACCAGUUCAAUGAGGGCUAUGGAACUGCAGAAGCACUCCAGAAUCACAAGGCAAAAUGGCACAAAUCAUGUCAAACAAAUUUUCAGACCUCAAAAUAUUUUAUCAGCAAAAGGGAAAACAUACUUCUGAUGUUGAAGAUAAGUUGCCAAUUGAAAGGAAACAAUAAGUGACCAGACACUGUAAAGUGGAACUGGA
This 330-nucleotide long non-coding RNA is filed under the name Mytilus galloprovincialis (Mediterranean mussel). Lineage: Eukaryota; Metazoa; Mollusca; Bivalvia; Mytilida; Mytilidae. The record is from RNAcentral.